This 401-nucleotide long non-coding RNA is filed under the name Dasypus novemcinctus (nine-banded armadillo). RNAcentral's name for it is "lncRNA (ENSDNOG00000050769.1)". The record is from RNAcentral. Lineage: Eukaryota; Metazoa; Chordata; Mammalia; Cingulata; Dasypodidae.
CCAGCGAGCCGGGCACGGCCCUGGACACCGCGCACACGAGUCACGGGUCGCGUUUCAGCCGUUUCCCUCAUCCCUUAUCCCUCCUCAAAGGAGGCGCUCAGGAUCAAGACGGCUGCGCAGGCGCCGCGCACGCAGGCCAGAUGAAGCCCGGGUCGCUUCGAAGCCAGGACAGAGCUCAGACAGACACACGCUGCCUUCCAUUCUUAAUAACUUGGGAUAAAAUACAAACUGUUUCCACGAAUUAGCACAUCUGGAGUUGUAAAGACAGCUAAAUGACCAGUGCUCACUUCUCACACUUCCCCAGAGCUAGGAUCACCAUCAGACAUAAGUGGCAGUUGUUGGAUGGUGUCCAGGUGUCGAGGUUCUUGGCUUCAUCACAAGAAAGAAUUCCAGGACGAGUC